Long non-coding RNA from Mesocricetus auratus (golden hamster), 521 nucleotides. RefSeq lists it as uncharacterized. NCBI's taxonomy places the organism in Eukaryota, Metazoa, Chordata, Mammalia, Rodentia, Cricetidae. The transcript is spliced from 3 exons. The record is from RefSeq and is a predicted model, not a curated record.
GGAGCUUAUGUAGCCCAGGCUGGCUUCAAACUCAAGCUCCUCCUCCUCAACUUCCCAGGUGCUUCUGGGUUACAAGCCUGUGCCAACACACCUGCCAGACUUUCACUUCUCUACUUUGGGGCUUGAAGGCUGUAGCAGAACCACCUGAAGCCUGCCAGGAACAAGGAACUCCCCCGUCCUCCUUCAUCAUCAGGACUUGUCACCCCCCCACCCCAAGAGAACCAGUGUCUUAGCGGUCUCCAAUACUGCUAUAGGUGUCCCACGGCACCCUCAGCCUGACAAGUGCCAUAGGAAGCUUACAGAAAGCCCAAAGCAAGACUUGGAUUCUGCAGCUUGGCAAGCUGAGCCUGCAGAUUGAGGGAGGCAACGGAAGACUGAGGACUCGAAGGCUGGAGAGGCAGAGCCAAGACUAGAGUAUGGUCAAUUCCUCUGACCCCAGAGUCCAGCCCUUUCCUUUGCUCCUGGUGGCCCUUUUCUUGGUGGGUCUGGGGAUAACUGUUGCAACUGAGAGGCAGACUGAU